This 468-nucleotide ribosomal RNA is filed under the name uncultured bacterium. RNAcentral describes it as "partial 16S ribosomal RNA". It matches the Rfam family "Bacterial small subunit ribosomal RNA", at positions 28 to 507 of the family's 1533-position model. The record is from RNAcentral.
GACGAACGCUGGCGGCGUGCUUAACACAUGCAAGUCGAACGGAAAGGCCCUGCUUUUGUGGGGUGCUCGAGUGGCGAACGGGUGAGUAACACGUGAGUAACCUGCCCUUGACUUUGGGAUAACUUCAGGAAACUGGGGCUAAUACCGGAUAGGAGCUCCUGCUGCAUGGUGGGGGUUGGAAAGUUUCGGCGGUUGGGGAUGGACUCGCGGCUUAUCAGCUUGUUGGUGGGGUAGUGGCUUACCAAGGCUUUGACGGGUAGCCGGCCUGAGAGGGUGACCGGACACAUUGGGACUGAGAUACGGCCCAGACUACUACGGGAGGCAGCAGUGGGGAAUAUUGCACAAUGGGCGGAAGCCUGAUGCAGCAACGCCGCGUGCGGGAUGACGGCCUUCGGGUUGUAAACCGCUUCCGCCUGUGACGAAGCGUGAGUGACGGUAAUGGGUAAAGAAGCACCGGCUAACUACGUG